Molecule: ribosomal RNA, 429 nt
Filed under: bacterium
Lineage: Bacteria
Description: partial 16S ribosomal RNA
Rfam family: Bacterial small subunit ribosomal RNA
Source: RNAcentral
UAGGGAAUCUUCGGCAAUGGGGGCAACCCUGACCGAGCAACGCCGCGUGAGUGAAGAAGGUUUUCGGAUCGUAAAGCUCUGUUGUAAGAGAAGAACGUGUGUGAGAGUGGAAAGUUCACACAGUGACGGUAACUUACCAGAAAGGGACGGCUAACUACGUGCCAGCAGCCGCGGUAAUACGUAGGUCCCGAGCGUUGUCCGGAUUUAUUGGGCGUAAAGCGAGCGCUGGCGGUUUAAUAAGUCUGAAGUUAAAGGCAGUGGCUUAACCAUUGUUCGCUUUGGCAACUGUUAAACUUGAGUGCAGAAGGGGAGAGUGGAAUUCCAUGUGUAGCGGUGAAAUGCGUAGAUAUAUGGAGGAACACCGGUGGCGAAAGCGGCUCUCUGGUCUGUAACUGACGCUGAGGCUCGAAAGCGUGGGGAGCAAACAGG